CCUCAUGGGUUCCUUUUAUAGGCGAAGUUUGCGUAUUGAUUGGUUGCCACGUGUCGUCUUCUGAUUGUGCCGACACUCGGCUUGCUACGUGUCGUCUUCUGAUUGUGCCGACACUUUGCUUGCUACGUGUCGAGUCUUGGUUGGCUGAUGGAGACCUUUGUCGUGUUGCUUCAAAGUCUCCAGGUGGGUCCCAUGCUUGUCUCAUGUGGGUCCCUUGAUGGUGAUGUCUUGGAUGCUUAUACAGAUAUACUCUGUAUAAUUAUUUUGUACCUAAUACAAAUAUAGAAAGUCGAAAAGAAAAUAAUUU
RNAcentral lists this long non-coding RNA (307 nucleotides) under Brassica napus (rape). RNAcentral's name for it is "long non-coding RNA (BNAP_LNC013354)". Lineage: Eukaryota; Viridiplantae; Streptophyta; Magnoliopsida; Brassicales; Brassicaceae. The record is from RNAcentral.